RNAcentral lists this long non-coding RNA (359 nucleotides) under Fragaria vesca (wild strawberry). Its description in RNAcentral is "long non-coding RNA (FVES_LNC000281)". Lineage: Eukaryota; Viridiplantae; Streptophyta; Magnoliopsida; Rosales; Rosaceae. The record is from RNAcentral.
UCUGUUGAGGAGGAGGCUGAGCAUAUCCCUGUUGUGGUGGGUAGCCCUGUUGUGGGUAUCCCUGCUGUGGGUAUCCCUGCUGUGGGUAGCCCUGUUGAGGUGCAUACCCUUGUGGAGGGUACCCUGGAGGAGGGUAUGCAUCCUUGGGAGGGUAACCUACAUCAUCAAAACAACAACAACAAUAUCAACAACCACCACCGUAUCAAAAUCAAACCAAAACCAACAUGCAACACCAAAAUCAAUCACAUACCCUGAGGAGGAGGGACACCAACCGGAGCCUGGUGCUGAUUGUAGUGACUCAUCUUUGCUGAAAAUCAAAGAGUUGGGUGGAAUAGUAGGGAAAGAGUGUGAUGGGUGUU